RNAcentral lists this ribosomal RNA (253 nucleotides) under uncultured bacterium. Its description in RNAcentral is "partial 16S ribosomal RNA". It matches the Rfam family "Bacterial small subunit ribosomal RNA", at positions 524 to 776 of the family's 1533-position model. The record is from RNAcentral.
UACGAAGGGUGCAAACGUUGCUCGGAAUUAUUGGGCGUAAAGCGCACGUAGGCGGCUCUGUAAGUCGGAUGUGAAAUCCCUCGGCUCAACCAAGGAAGUGCAUUCGAAACUGCGGAGCUUGAGUAGUUAAGAGGAUCGCGGAAUUCCCGGUGUAGAGGUGAAAUUCGUAGAUAUCAAGUGGAACACCAGUGGCGAAGGCGAGUCUCUGGACAUUUCCUGACGCUGAGGCACGAAAGCCAGGGGAGCAAACGGG